CUCCCCACCCCCUUGCUCCAGUGUUCUUCCUGUCCCAACAGGGAUAGGAGGAGUUAGACAGCUCUCUCCUAGAAAGUUAGGUAGGGAACGGGGGCGAGUCUGGUCGGGGGGUUCCUACCUCUCCUCUUCAGACUCGGCAGGCCCCCGAACCAGCACCACUCUGGGAAGCGGUCCCCUGGUUAAGUCCCCGAUUCGCUCUCUGGCCGGCCGGAAUCGGGGACGCUGUUGCCGCUUCUCCCCAUCGGAGCUCUGGGCUCGGCUUCGGCUCCUGCCUCCUCUGACGUCAGUUCCUGGCCGCACUCACGUGACCGGAAGCCGGAAGUAAUGACGCUGAUCUGUGGAGCGACGCGGCGAGCAGCAUGCUGGAGACACGCCGAUCCGGUGGUCUCGCAUGUCCUGGGGGUUGACUCUUCCCUGGAAUGAGUCCCCCUGGGAAAGAAGUGGAGGCGGAGUCAGGCGGCGACGGGCGGACCGGUAAGUCACCUGAAUCUUAUUUAAGACGCCAGAUGGCAGCCUGCUAGGUUGCAUCAUGGAGGUCCAGGCGUCCAGCAAACUUGAAACUUGCUCAGACUCCCCCGUCCAGGCCCCUGUAAGUAAUACCUUGUACAGGGAUAGGUCUUUGGCUCAGCAGUUCCCUAAUGGCCUUAUCCCCCCCUUUCUCUUAGACUUCUAAGGAACCAGGGCACAGGCCUCAUGGGGAUCCCAAAAAGAAGGGCAGGAAAUGCCCGACCUGCCAAACAAAGCUGCUAGAGUCCUAUAAGAAGCAGCUAUGCCCAGAAUGUAUCUCCAAAAUUAUGAGGGACGAACGCACAUCCCUGCUUUCAGAUCUAAGGGAUAUUGUAAGAGAGGAGGUGCAGGCGGCAACCUCUAGCCAAACACCCCCUCCUCCUUCCCCCCCCUCCUCCAAAAAAGCCAGGAUCCAGUCAGGCUCUGACUCAGAGGAAGUAGGGUUAUGUGUCUCAGACAAUGACGACAUGGAGUCCCUCCAUCAGAAUGAGCAGAGAAGAUACUUCUUUUCGUCCGAGGACUUAGAUUCUCUGCUCACCGCCAUUAGACAGACCAUGGCUAUUGAGGAGGAGGAUCAGACUCGUUCGGUUGAGGACGAAAUGUUUAGGGGUCUUAAAGUCAGGAGAAAGAACGUCUUCCCAAUAAAUGAAAAUCUUAAAGAUCUCAUCACAGAGGAAUGGGCUGACGGCGAAAGGAAGCUCUUUAUUCCCAGGGAUUUUAAAAAUCGUCUACGGUUUGACCCAAAGGACACUAACCUCUGGGACGAGGUUCCCAAAGUUGAUAUCCAGGUGGCCAAGGUCGUGAAAAAAACCUCAAUACCCUUUGAGGAUUCGUCACAGCUAAGGGACCCCAUGGAUAGGAAGCUAGACGGCCUGUUGAAAAAAUCCUGGGAGUCAGGGGCAACCGCAAUUAAUACCAACAUUGCAGCUACUUCGGUUUCCAGAGCCUUAAUCUUGUGGAUUAAUCAACUGGAGAGUCACCUUAGGGCAAGAACAUCCAGGGAAGAAAUCCUAGAGUCUCUCCCGCUUCUAAAGAUGGCCUCUAGUUUCCUGGCGGACGCCUCAGCGGAGACCAUUAGAUUCGCAGCCAAGUCCCAGUCUCAGACUAACGCUGCUAGACGGGCCCUCUGGCUCAAGUCCUGGUCUGGAGACGUAGCGUCAAAGAACAGACUCUGCUCCAUUCCGUUCUCUGGCUCGUUUAUGUUCGGCCCAGUUCUGGACUCUAUUCUCCAGAAUGCGGCAGAUAACAAGAAGGGGUUCCCUGAGGAGAAGCCAAAAAAAACCCAGCCCUUUCGGAGGCCCUCAGGCCAAAAUCAGGCCAGGACCUAUAGAGGGAAAGGGAAAUCGGGCCGCUGGAGCUACCCCAAGGGUAGAGGCAGGGGUUUCCUCUUCAACCCCAACACCAAUACAGGGAAACCAUGACGCCAGACCAGUGGGAGGGAGACUUCGUCACUUUUGGGAAAGAUGGAAGAGAGUUACCUGCAAUCAAUGGAUCCUGGACUCCAUCAGGGACGGCUUCAGGAUAGAUUUCAGAACUCCUCCUCCCCAAGUGUUCCAGGUGACCUAUUUCGAAUCUCCUCUCCUCCAACAGCAACUAAGGUCACAUAUUCAAGACCUCCUGGCUCUGGGAGCUAUCACCCAGGUUCCUCCUCCCCAGCAGUUCACAGGCCAUUACUCAAGACUUUUCUUUGUAAAGAAGCCAGACGGGUCGAUGAGGACAAUCAUCAACUUAAAGUUUCUGAACAGGUGGGUGACGUACUACAGGUUCAAGAUGGAGUCAAUAAAAUCCUCCACUCCUCUGAUCCCUCCAGGUGCUCACCUUUGCACAUUGGACCUCAAGGAUGCGUAUUACCACAUCCCCAUACAUCCCCAACACCAUCAGUACUUAAGGUUUGCGGUCAGGUACGGAAAGGAGACCUCUCACUACCAGUUCCAGUGCCUGCCGUUCGGUAUCUCAUCUGCCCCCCGCCUAUUCACAAAGGUAGUAUCCGAAAUGAUGGCCUUCCUUCGCCAGAAUACAAUUACAAUCGUGCCCUACCUGGACGACUUCUUGCUGAUAGCAGACUCGGUUCAAAAAUUGAUGGGGGACAUCCACCAAACCUUAGCCCUAUUCAAGGACUUGGGGUGGAUCGUGAACUACCCGAAAUCCGACUUGAUACCGGACACAAGAAAGGAAUUCCUAGGCACUCUCCUGGAUACAAGAAUACAACACUCAUUUCUUCCAGAGAGAAAACAGACCAAUCUGAGACAAAAGAUAGAGUUGUUCAAAAAGAGGAAAACCCACUCGAUCAGGGAAGCCAUGCAGAUCCUGGGUCUGAUGACCUCCUGCAUCUCAAUAGUACCCUGGGCCCAAUUCCACUCCAGGACCCUCCAGAAUGCAGUUUUGACAGCUUGGAACAGAGACCACCGUUCUCUAAACUCCAGGAUGAAAAUAUCGGGAAAAGUGAUAAAAUCCCUGUCCUGGUGGACAGAACCAGGGAAUCUGGAGAAAGGAGUCCCGUGGAAUUUGACUCCAGCCAUAACCGUCACCACGGACGCGAGUCUGAAUGGCUGGGGGGGGGCACGUGGACCAGCAUCUCUUCCAGGGUUCCUGGGUCCUUCAAGACAGGAUAAGAUCCUCAAACUACCGGGAACUGAAGGCAGUGCUGAGGACUCUGACAGCAGCCAAACGUCUCCUCAAGGAUCAACAUGUCAGGAUCCUAUCCGACAACAUUACUACGGUAUGUUAUCUAAAAAGACAGGGCGGUACCAGAUGCCCGCUCCUUCAGGAUCUAGCAGAUCAAAUCUUCAUAUGGGCAGAAAGGGAGGUUCGGUCCAUUUCAGCAACCCAUCUAAAGGGGUCUCAGAACUCGAGAGCCGACUUCCUAAGCCGCCACAGGAUAGACGCGGGAGAAUGGAAUCUGAACAAACAGGUCUUCAGACAGGUCUGCCAGCUAUGGGGUUAUCCAGAAAUAGACCUCUUCGCAUCCAGGGGGAAUUCUCAACUGGACUGUUUUUACUCACUAAACCCCAGCGAAAACCCAGUGGCAGUAGACUCCUUAGCCCAGAAUUGGGACAUGAAACUGGCCUACGCUUUUCCUCCUUUUCCCCUAAUCCCGGCAGUCCUAAAGAAGAUGAGGACCAGUACCACCACUCUGAUCCUGGUCGCACCAGACUGGUCCAAGAGAGCUUGGUAUCCCAUCUUGAGGGAAAUGUCGAUCAAAGACCCGUACCCCCUUCCAGACAGGAAAGAUCUGUUAACGCAGGGACCUCUGGAGCAUCCCAAUCUCAACAAGCUGAGACUGACUGCUUGGAUCCUGAGAGGCAAACCCUGAGGAAGAAGGGUCUCUCCAAUCAGGAGGAGCGGUUCCACUGUCUUGAUGUAAGAAGAACGGUCCUCGCCUACAUCAAGCGGACAAAAUCCUGGAGAAAGUCAGCGAACCUCCUCAUCCAAUUCGGUGGUAGGAACAAGGGAAGCAAAGCCUCUAAAACCUCUUUAGCCCGCUGGAUCAAGGAGACCAUCAGGGAAUGUUAUAGACUGCAGAGUUCAUCCUGCCCCAUAACGUUGAGGGCUCAUUCCACCAGAGCCAUGUCCGCAACCUUGGCGGAGAAGGCUGGAGCUUCCAUCGACCAGAUCUGCAGAGCGGCAACCUGGUCCUCCUCCACUACCUUCGUCAGACACUACAGACUGGACUCUAUGGCCAAUCAGGACUUGGCUUUUGGCCGUAAGGUCCUACAAGCAGUGGUCCCCCCCUAAAUGGCGUUCUAAGUUGUUAGUUCUCCAUGGGUGCUGUCAUGGAGGACGUCCUGGAAACAUAUGUUUAGUUUACCGGUAAACUGCUUUCCAGGAGUCCGGAAUGACAGCACCCAAUACUACCCCCCCAUUUUCUGUUCCUUCCGGGACACUUUUUUGGUUGGUAUAUUUGUACUGCUACUGUAUACAGUGUGAAGUAACACUUGUUCUUGAAAUAAAGAUGUGGCAGCCUAUCCGGUGUAGUAAGUUAUAAACACUGGAGCAAGGGGGUGGGGAGGGGCCCUUUAAACUGUCUCUCUUCCUGUCCCAACAGAAACCAGUAAGGACAUCCUCCAUGGGUGCUGUCAUUCCGGACUCCUGGAAAGCAGUUUACCGCACUAAUAGAAAUGGAUUCCAAGAGAGCUCCCCAAGACAAGCUAACCUGCGUGUCUAGAGCUUGUAACUACCUCUACAAAUCCAUACACAACUCUAAGAAAGAGCCAGCCACAGCGGACGAUUUACUGUCUUGU
RNA transcript from Bufo gargarizans (Asiatic toad), 4748 nucleotides. It is a transcript of the gene named rab5 GDP/GTP exchange factor-like, with no coding region annotated. The record is from RefSeq and is a predicted model, not a curated record. The transcript has 3 exons. Lineage: Eukaryota; Metazoa; Chordata; Amphibia; Anura; Bufonidae.